Molecule: ribosomal RNA, 680 nt
Filed under: bacterium enrichment culture clone R2A1
Lineage: Bacteria
Description: bacterial SSU rRNA
Rfam family: Bacterial small subunit ribosomal RNA
Source: RNAcentral
CGCCGGUAGAUAGAGUUUGAUCGUGCCUCAGUGAAGGGUAGCUUGCUACCUGUACCUAUCGGCGGACGGGUGAGUAAUGCUUAGGAAUCUGCCUAUUAGUGGGGGACAACAUUCCGAAAGGAAUGCUAAUACCGCAUACGCCCUACGGGGGAAAGCAGGGGAUCUUCGGACCUUGCGCUAAUAGAUGAGCCUAAGUCAGAUUAGCUAGUUGGUGGGGUAAAGGCCUACCAAGGCGACGAUCUGUAGCGGGUCUGAGAGGAUGAUCCGCCACACUGGGACUGAAACACGGCCCAGACUCCUACGGGAGGCAGCAGUGGGGAAUAUUGGACAAUGGGCGAAAGCCUGAUCCAGCCAUGCCGCGUGUGUGAAGAAGGCCUUUUGGUUGUAAAGCACUUUAAGCGAGGAGGAGGCUACUGGGAUUAAUACUCUUGGAUAGUGGACGUUACUCGCAGAAUAAGCACCGGCUAACUCUGUGCCAGCAGCCGCGGUAAUACAGAGGGUGCGAGCGUUAAUCGGAUUUACUGGGCGUAAAGCGUGCGUACGCGGCUUUUUAAGUCGGAUGUGAAAUCCCUGAGCUUAACUUACGAAUUGCAUUCGAUACUGGGAAGCUAUACUAUGGGAGAGGAUGGUAGAAUUCCAGGUGUAACGCCCACAAGCACAUAGAUCUCGUCGAAUACGUU